This is a transfer RNA of Penicillium griseofulvum, 74 nucleotides long. It matches the Rfam family "tRNA". From Rfam's summary of the family: Transfer RNA (tRNA) molecules are approximately 80 nucleotides in length. The record is from Rfam. NCBI's taxonomy places the organism in Eukaryota, Fungi, Ascomycota, Eurotiomycetes, Eurotiales, Aspergillaceae.
GGGGCGAUAGCUCAGUUGGGAGUAGCGUGCGAUUGAAGUUCGCAAGGUCGCCGGUUCAAUCCCGGCUCGCCCCA